UUUCGACGGUAAGGUAUUGGCUUACCGUGGCAGUGACGGUUAACGGGGGAUUAGGGUUCAAUUCCGGAGAGGGAGCCUGAGAAACGGCUACCACAUCUAAGGAAGGCAGCAGGCGCGCAAAUUACCCAAUUCUAACAGCAUAAGAGAGGUAGUGACAAGAAAUAACAGUACAAGGCAGUUAAAAUGCUUUGUAAUUGGAAUGAUAGAAAUUUAAAUACUUUUUAAAGUAUCAAUUGGAGGGCAAGUCUGGUGCCAGCAGCCGCGGUAAUUCCAGCUCCAAUAGCGUAUAUUAAAAUUGUUGCAGUUAAAAAGCUCGUAGUUGAAUUUUUGCUAAAAAUAACCGGUCUGCUUUUAUUAAUAAAAGUGGUAUCUUGGUGUGUUUUUAGCAAUAAUGUCCUUUGAAAUGUUUUUUACUUUAUUGUAAAAAGCAAUUUUCAGGAUUUUUACUUUGAGAAAAUUAGAGUGUUUCAAGCAGGCUAACGUUUUGAAUACUGCAGCAUGGAAUAAUAAAAUAGGAUUUUAGUUCUACGUUAUUGGUUUUAAGAACUAAAUUAAUGAUUGAUAGGAGCAGUUGGGGGCAUUUGUAUUUAACUGUCAGAGGUGA
Molecule: ribosomal RNA, 604 nt
Filed under: Hepatozoon sp.
Lineage: Eukaryota; Apicomplexa; Hepatozoidae
Description: SSU rRNA
Rfam family: Eukaryotic small subunit ribosomal RNA
Source: RNAcentral